AGAUUGAACGCUGGCGGCAGGCUUAACACAUGCAAGUCGAGCGGGGAAAUGUAGCUUGCUACAUUACCUAGCGGCGGACGGGUGAGUAAUGCUUAGGAAUCUGCCUAUUAGUGGGGGACAACAUUUCGAAAGGAAUGCUAAUACCGCAUACGCCCUACGGGGGAAAGCAGGGGAUCUUCGGACCUUGCGCUAAUAGAUGAGCCUAAGUCGGAUUAGCUAGUUGGUGGGGUAAAGGCCUACCAAGGCGACGAUCUGUAGCGGGUCUGAGAGGAUGAUCCGCACACUGGGACUGAGACACGGCCCAGACUCCUACGGGAGCAGCAGUGGGAAUAUGGACAAGUGGGGGGAACCCUGACUCCAGCCAGUGCCGCGUGUGUGAAGAGGUCCUUUUUGGUGUAAAGCUACUUAGCGAGGAGAGGCUAACCGUAGAUUAACUACCCGUGGAGUA
RNAcentral lists this ribosomal RNA (448 nucleotides) under uncultured soil bacterium. Its description in RNAcentral is "bacterial SSU rRNA". It matches the Rfam family "Bacterial small subunit ribosomal RNA", at positions 26 to 488 of the family's 1533-position model. The record is from RNAcentral.